RNAcentral lists this ribosomal RNA (433 nucleotides) under uncultured bacterium. Its description in RNAcentral is "partial 16S ribosomal RNA". It matches the Rfam family "Bacterial small subunit ribosomal RNA", at positions 29 to 507 of the family's 1533-position model. The record is from RNAcentral.
AACGAACGCUGGCGGCAUGCCUAACACAUGCAAGUCGAACGAGACCUUCGGGUCUAGUGGCGCACGGGUGCGUAACGCGUGGGAACCUGCCCUUAGGUUCGGAAUAACUCCCCGAAAGGGGUGCUAAUACCGGAUAAUGUCUUCGGACCAAAGAUUUAUCGCCUUUGGAUGGGCCCGCGUUGGAUUAGCUAGUUGGUAGGGUAAAAGCCUACCAAGGCGACGAUCCAUAGCUGGUCUGAGAGGAUGAUCAGCCACACUGGGACUGGGAACCGGCCCAGAAUCCUACGGGAGGCAGCAGUGGGGAAUAUUGGACAAUGGGCGAAAGCCUGAUCCAGCAAUGCCGCGUGAGUGAUGAAGGCCUUAGGGUUGUAAAGCUCUUUUACCCGGGAUGAUAAUGACAGUACCGGGAGAAUAAGCUCCGGCUAACUCCGUG